AUGGAGCGCCCGGCGGCGGGCGCCUCCUACCAGCGGUUCCCGCGCGUGCGGAUCCGCGAGCUGAGGGACGAGUACGCCAAGUUCGAGCUCCGGGACACCGACGCGAGCGUGGCCAACGCCCUCCGCCGCGUCAUGAUCGCCGAGGUCCCCACCGUCGCCAUCGACCUCGUCGAGAUCGAGGCCAACUCCUCCGUCCUCACCGACGAGUUCAUCGCGCACCGCCUCGGCCUCAUCCCGCUCACCUCCUCCGCCGCCAUGGCCAUGCGCCUCUCCCGCGACUGCGACGCCUGCGACGGGGACGGCUCCUGCGAGUACUGCUCCGUCGAGUUCCACCUGGCCGCCCGCGCCACUGACUCCGGCCAGACGCUCGAGGUCACCGCCAUGGACCUCCGCUCUACCGACCCCAAGGUCUGCCCUGUCGACCAGGCCGAUGCUGCCGGUGACCACAGGGGCAUAUUAAUUGUAAAGCUGCGUUGUGGGCAAGAGCUACGUCUCCGAGCAAUUGCUAGGAAGGGAAUUGGAAAGGACCAUGCCAAAUGGUCUCCAGCUGCUACUGUGACCUUCAUGUAUGAGCCUGAUAUAUGUAUUAAUGAAGAGCUUAUGGAGACACUUACACUUGAGGAAAAACAAAGCUGGGUGGAGAGCAGCCCUACAAAAGUAUUUGACAUUGAUCCUGUCACCCAACAGGUGACGAUUGUGGAUCUGGAGGCAUACACAUACGACGAUGAGGUGAUCAAGAAAGCCGAGGCCAUGGGGAAGCCAGGACUGGUGGAGAUCAACGCCAAGGAGGACAGCUUUGUGUUCACCGUGGAAACGACCGGCGCCAUCACAGCCUAUGAGUUGAUCAUGAAUGCUAUCACGAUCCUGAGGCAGAAGCUGGACGCCAUUCGCCUACAAGAUGAUGAUGGCGAUCUUGCUGAGCUCGACGCCCACCUUGUUGGAGGCUAA
This 948-nucleotide ribosomal RNA is filed under the name Triticum aestivum (bread wheat). Its description in RNAcentral is "partial small subunit ribosomal RNA". The record is from RNAcentral. Lineage: Eukaryota; Viridiplantae; Streptophyta; Magnoliopsida; Poales; Poaceae.